AUGGAAAGCGGCGGACGGGUGAGUAACGCGUAGGCAACCUGCCCCUUGCAGAGGGAUAGCCAUUGGAAACGAUGAUUAAAACCUCAUAACGCUGCAUUGUCACAUGAUGGAGCAGCCAAAGAUUUAUCGGCAAGGGAUGGGCCUGCGUCUGAUUAGCUAGUUGGUGGGGUAACGGCCUACCAAGGCGACGAUCAGUAGCCGACCUGAGAGGGUGAUCGGCCACACUGGGACUGAGACACGGCCCAGACUCC
This 251-nucleotide ribosomal RNA is filed under the name uncultured Bacillota bacterium. RNAcentral's name for it is "uncultured Firmicutes bacterium partial 16S ribosomal RNA". It matches the Rfam family "Bacterial small subunit ribosomal RNA", at positions 88 to 339 of the family's 1533-position model. Lineage: Bacteria; Bacillati; Bacillota. The record is from RNAcentral.